CCUACGGGCGGCAGCAGUAGGGAAUCUUUCACAAUGGGCGAAAGCCUGAUGGAGCAACGCCGCGUGCAGGAUGAAGGCCUUCGGGUUGUAAACUGCUUUUAUAAGCGAGAAAUAUGAUGGUAACUUCUGAAUAAGGAUCGGCUAACUACGUGCCAGCAGCCGCGGUCAUACGUAGGAUCCGAGCAUUAUCCGGAGUGACUGGGUGUAAAGGGUUGCGUAGGUGGCAUAAUAAGUAGCUAGUGAAAUCUGGUGGCUCAACCAUUCAGACUAUUAGCUAAACUGUUAAGCUCGAGACCGUUAGGGGUAACUGGAAUUUCUAGUGUAGGAGUGAAAUCCGUAGAUAUUAGAAGGAACACCAAUAGCGUAGGCAGGUUACUGGGACGGUUCUGACACUAAGGCACGAAAGCGUAGGGAGCAAACGGGAUUAGAUACCCGUGUAGUC
Molecule: ribosomal RNA, 442 nt
Filed under: uncultured bacterium
Lineage: Bacteria
Description: partial 16S ribosomal RNA
Rfam family: Bacterial small subunit ribosomal RNA
Source: RNAcentral